CAUCAGUACAGGUGGUGCAUGGCUGUCGUCAGCUCGUGUCGUGAGAUGUUGGGUUAAGUCCCGCAACGAGCGCAACCCUUAUUCUUAGUUGUUUCCCUUUGGGAUUACCCUCUAAGAAGACUGCCUCGGAUAACGGGGAGGAAGGUGGGGAUGACGUCAAGUCCGCAUGCUCCUUACGUCUAGGGCUACACACGUCCUACAAUGGGGUCGACAAUGGGAUGCAAUAUCGCAAGAUGGAGCCAAUCCCCAAACGGCCUCUCAGUUCGGAUUGUAGUCUGCAACUCGACUACAUGAAGUUGGAAUCGCUAGUAAUGGCAGAUCAGCAUGCUGCCGUGAAUACGUUCCCGGGUCUU
Molecule: ribosomal RNA, 353 nt
Filed under: uncultured bacterium
Lineage: Bacteria
Description: bacterial SSU rRNA
Rfam family: Bacterial small subunit ribosomal RNA
Source: RNAcentral